Molecule: ribosomal RNA, 460 nt
Filed under: uncultured bacterium
Lineage: Bacteria
Description: partial 16S ribosomal RNA
Rfam family: Bacterial small subunit ribosomal RNA
Source: RNAcentral
CCUACGGGUGGCAGCAGUGAGGAAUAUUGGUCAAUGGACGAGAGUCUGAACCAGCCAAGUAGCGUGAAGGAUGACUGCCCCAUGGGUUGUAAACUUCUUUUAUCUGGGAAUAAAAUGUUCCACGUGUGGGUUUUUGUAUGUACUAUAUGAAUAAGGAUCGGCUAACUCCGUGCCAGCAGCCGCGGUAAUACGGAGGAUCCGAGCGUUAUCCGGAUUUAUUGGGUUUAAAGGGAGCGUAGGUGGAGUGUUAAGUCAGUUGUGAAAGUUUGCGGCUCAACCGUAAAAUUGCAGUUGAAACUGGCAGUCUUGAGUACAGUAGAGGUAUGCGGAAUGCGUGGUGUAGCGGUGAAAUGCUUAGAUAUCGCGAAGAACUCCGAUUGCGAAGGCAGUACACUGGAGUGCAACUGACGCUGAGGCUCGAAAGUGUGGGUAUCGAACAGGAUUAGAUACCCGGGUAGUC